RNAcentral lists this ribosomal RNA (291 nucleotides) under uncultured Dechloromonas sp. Its description in RNAcentral is "partial 16S ribosomal RNA". It matches the Rfam family "Bacterial small subunit ribosomal RNA", at positions 1084 to 1382 of the family's 1533-position model. The record is from RNAcentral. Lineage: Bacteria; Pseudomonadati; Pseudomonadota; Betaproteobacteria; Rhodocyclales; Azonexaceae.
GUCCCGCAACGAGCGCAACCCCUACCGUGUGUUACCAUCAUUAGUGGGACUCGCACGGAACUGCCGGUGAUAACCGGAGGAAGUGGGAUGACGUCAAAUCCUCAUGGCCUUUAUGUGUAGGGCUUCACACGUCAUACAAUGGUCGGUACAAAGGGUUGCCAAGCCGCGAGGUGGAGCCAAUCCCAGAAAGCCGAUCGUAGUCCGGAUUGCAGGCUGCAACUCGCCUGCAUGAAGUCGGAAUCGCUAGUAAUCGUGGAUCAGCAUGUCACGGUGAAUACGUUCCCGGGUCUU